RNAcentral lists this ribosomal RNA (264 nucleotides) under uncultured archaeon. RNAcentral describes it as "partial 16S ribosomal RNA". It matches the Rfam family "Archaeal small subunit ribosomal RNA", at positions 748 to 1008 of the family's 1478-position model. The record is from RNAcentral.
AGGGUGUAAACGCUGCAGACUUGGUGUUGGAAGCCCUUUGGGGGCAUUCAGUGCCUGAGAGAAGUUGUUAAGUCUGCUACUUGGGGAGUACGUCCGCAAGGAUGAAACUUAAAGGAAUUGGGCGGGGGGAGGCACCGCAACGGGAGGAGCGUGCGGUUUAAUUGGAUUCAACACCGUAAAACUCACCAGGGAAGACUGUUACAUGAAGGCCGAGAUGAAGACUCUGCUAGAUUUUCAGAGAGGUGGUGCAUGGCGUCAGUGACU